This 1180-nucleotide long non-coding RNA is filed under the name Mytilus galloprovincialis (Mediterranean mussel). The record is from RNAcentral. Lineage: Eukaryota; Metazoa; Mollusca; Bivalvia; Mytilida; Mytilidae.
AAAUUAGACAACAAUAUGGUUUAUAGAGGAAUUGUCUUAAUUUUUGAUAGAAAAUAUUCAUUUUGAUAUUUUUAUGGUUAAUUAAAUAUCGCAUUUGAUAUAUUUUCAUUAAAUAAUUGGUCAUACGUCUAAAAAGAUGACAAUGUUUUAAUGAAAAAAUUUACUAUUAAUAUAACUAUGUUGACAAUGAAACACACAAGACAAUUCUGUUAAAAUCAAUGUAGUUUGUGUGGAGUAAUUUCCUCCCAAAAAGGUUGACUUCUGGACAUUGUAUGGAGUAAUUUCCUCCCAAAAAGGUUGACUUCUGGACAUUACACUCUUGUUUUAACCAAAUGAACAUUAACAACACUUGAAAUUGAAAAUAAGUGUUACAUGGAAGCCCAUGCAUGCAUGGUUACCAUAAACUCAUGAAAAUCAGAACUUCUUAUAACUGACACACAGCAGCUUGUCAGGUGUCAACAUUCUGAACUUAGUCAAGGUUCAUAUGUAUAUCUGGCCCUUGUUCUACUUAGAAUUACUACCUUUUCAUGUUCUACCCCUGUAACAUAGUGAUAUUUCAUAGAAAAUCAUUUGCAUUAAGAACUGCUAGUUAAUGUAAUAUUUGACCUUGUGCUUGUUGUGUGGGCUACUUUUCAAAUUAUAAAUGCUGAUUGUUGACUGAUAAAGAGUAGUCUCCCCUUUAAUAAUGCUGUAUUAUUGCAAAAUAUUUUUUUAGUAACUGAUAUUUAUAUUUAUUGUGUAUUCAACAACACUAAGUCACUUAAGUAACUUGUGGACCAAUAAAAUUACAGAUUACUUAAGUGUUUUCAUUUUAGCAGUAUUUAAUUAUUUUUUAUCUGACAACCCUACAUACAAUCUGAUAUCCACUGAAGGGAAGUCUACCAGCAUGAAAUUUAGGAGCUUUAAAUAUAAAAUUUAGGUGACUUCCUAUUGCUAGUUCCAUAUCAUUUAUCUGCAAAAAACAUCUUUCUGCUUAAUUUGUCUUUGCUAACAUAUGUUACUUAAUCAAUGAUUAAGAUGUUCAUUUAUAUCUGCCUUUGACAGUGUACAUGUUUUUGUAUUCUUCAAUUACAAUAUUUUUUUCUUUAUUGGGUAAAAUUGUGGUCAAUAAUCCUUAAAUUUUUGUUAAAACAGAUAUGCUGUACAAAAAUGCAGUGUAAGAUAAAAUGAAGAACAUUUG